AGGACAUCUGAGCACCAAUCUUUGGAGCCUGGAGGAUGCUGCUCAGACUCCAUGAAUCCUGAACCAACUCUUGAAUCUUGAUCUAGCUCUCUGAGCUGUUCUAUGAAGAUGAUUGUUCCAACGUUUUAGAUAAGAAAACUGCCAUGAAAAAAAUAGAACCCUCAAAUAAUGUGAAGACAGACAAACGUCCUUAAUUCACCGCUUACUUUGACAAAGAAGGGAAAGGAGGCCUGAGAGAAGAUGCCUGAAGACACUGUGCUCCAUUGCAAUGGAUUUGGCGUGAAGCCUCGUUUGAGAGGCAGUCGUGCUGCAGUGGAAUCCAGCUGGAUAUUCCCGGUCUUCCUCCUGAUCAUUACAAGGGCAGGAUUUAACUGAAAUAUGAUGGGAGGGGGAUUAUAGAUUUGGCUCUAGGAUUCUGUGAAAACACAUGGAAGUAGCACAUUAAUAUUAGUCAAAGACUGAAUGGGCCUUUAUAAGAAGUUGAGAUAAAUUUUGGCAAAAUCAGGUUGCCCUGAAUAACAUUCAAUUUACUGUGAGGGAGUUGGUCAAGAAAUUUGCGAUUUUUCUUCCUUUCGUUUAUUUAACUAAUUAGAUUCCGGAGUCUGCACCUCCUACGAAGUUGCACUCCUGAAAUGAGGAGUUUGAGUUUUCAGAGGAUGUGCCUGUGUUUUUCAUUAUAUUCUCCUGAUCAUUGGGUUUUGCGUUAAUCCGUGCUACGCGUUUCUCUUGUAUUUUUCUUCACUGCAUGAACUCUGGCAUUUCAUUUCAGGGAUGUAUAUCCAAGG
Suncus etruscus (white-toothed pygmy shrew) is the source of this 785-nucleotide long non-coding RNA. RefSeq lists it as uncharacterized. The transcript has 3 exons. NCBI's taxonomy places the organism in Eukaryota, Metazoa, Chordata, Mammalia, Eulipotyphla, Soricidae. The record is from RefSeq and is a predicted model, not a curated record.